This 639-nucleotide non-coding RNA is filed under the name Pan troglodytes (chimpanzee). Lineage: Eukaryota; Metazoa; Chordata; Mammalia; Primates; Hominidae. The record is from RNAcentral.
GUGGAGGAUGGAGACAAGCCACUCACCAGGCCCUGCAGCCCCGCCCCCACUCCCAGCUCACCAAGACACAGUACUCCUUGCCCGGCUCGGUGGAGACGGCGCUGAUGUCGCCCAGCUUGGCUGUGCCCAAAGAGCGGAAGAAGCUGGUCUGGCAAUCCUCAUGGCACGUAAAGAGGCGGUCAUCCGUGAGGACCAGGCAGCAGGGCUCCUGCCAAGCCCAUGUGUUCUUGCUCCGGCCCCUGUGAUUCUCCUCAGCACACGCAGUUGCACCCAAGAGGAGCCCUGAGAGGUCCAAGGAGAAGACAGAGCCUCCCCGGGUGAGCUGCCAGAGUGAGCUCAGGAAUCCUGCUCCAGGAACUCCAGAAAUCUCACCCUGCCCUGAGGCAAGCAGUGCAACUGGGCUGUUAGUUCUCAGGCCGCAGGGAGCUCUGAAAGGCUGUAGAGGAAGGUCAGGCCCUGCUUGUCAAGUGACUGCAACAGGCGUGUCAGGAGGGGGGUUAGUUGUUAGAAUCGGAGGGAAAAAAAAAACAAUAUCCAGCAUGUGUGCUGCAAGAAGAGGGGCUAAGAGGGUACAUGAUGUUAUGAUGGAAUUCUGGAAUCCAAGCUAAUUUAACUCAAACAGGGGACCCUUCAAUGCUA